This 384-nucleotide unclassified non-coding RNA is filed under the name soil metagenome. RNAcentral describes it as "partial contains 5.8S ribosomal RNA, internal transcribed spacer 2, and large subunit ribosomal RNA". The stretch from base 2 to 119 matches the Rfam family "5.8S ribosomal RNA", at positions 37 to 154 of the family's 154-position model. The record is from RNAcentral.
GUGAAGAACGUAGCGAAAUGCGAUAAGUAAUGUGAAUUGCAGAAUUCAGUGAAUCAUCGAAUCUUUGAACGCACCUUGCGCUCCUUGGUAUUCCGAGGAGCAUGCCUGUUUGAGUGUCAUUAAAUUCUCAACCUCAUCAGUUUUGUUAUGAAGCUGUGUGAGGCUUGGAUGUGGGGGUUUGUGCAGGCUGCCUCAGUGCGGUCUGCUCCCCUGAAAUGUAUUAGCGAGUUCCAACUGGGCUCCGUCUAUUGGUGUGAUAAUUAUCUACGCCGUGGAUUGGGCUUAGACUUGCUUCUAACCGUCCGCAAGGACAAUCUUUUGACAAUUUGACCUCAAAUCAGGUAGGACUACCCGCUGAACUUAAGCAUAUCAAUAAGCGGAGGA